AAGUAGCAGGGUAGCUAGGAACAGUUUGUUCUCUUCUGCCAAUAAGAGGACGAGGGUGUGUCAUAUGCAAAUGUACCGCCCUCCAAGCCCACCCCCAAGACCAACCACGCCCCCUUCUCUAGGUCCCUGCAGAAAUGGUGCCGAUUUCAGUGUCUGCUGUGUUACAGUGGUGUCUUUGCUGAGUUUGAAACUGGAUACUCCAAGCAAGUAGAUGACUUUUCUUCAGAUAUGCCAGGAAAAAAACCUGAAAUUGCUUCAGCAAAAAUAACCUUUCUUCCAUCUUCAUGAAGUUAACGUGGAAAACUGAUAUUUAGUCAUGAAGGAGCUUGAUUAAACUGUUUCACUUUAUCAUUUUACAUCUUGAUACAAUAAUAUGUAUACAGGUUAUUUUCUUGCAAUACUUCUCACCUUCUUUGCAAUUGUUUUUUUCCUUGGCUGCCUUCUCCAUGAGAUUAUAUGCCUCAUGAGGACAGUUUUUCUCAUCAUUAUAUCCCCGAUACAAUAAUGUUUUAGAAGAAAAAUGAAUAAAGAAAGUCCAUGCAAAAAAGUCAUCUGGUCUAUGUCACAGGAAUAGUGAGUUCUUAUCAGGUUAAUCAAAUAUGAGUUGCAUUACUCAAGAGUUUUAAUAACCAGUGGUUGUAAACUGACUUUUUUAUCAUGUAUUAUGUGUAAAUGUAAUGUUGAAUGUAGUUGUAAGUUUCAGGAUAGGAAUAGUGUUCAGGCUGCAGUAGGUAACUGCUACUUUUGUCAUUCUUUUGGUAACUCUUAGCCAGCUUGGGUCUGCAAAAUUGCCCCCUCCCUUGCACUCAGCCCUGUCCUUGUUCUAGGAGUCUCCUCCCGGAGAUGCAGUGGGUCUAGCAUUAGCAUGUGAUACUCUGUUCCUCCAGGGAACAGCCCCCGCUGCGGUCAUGAGGCUUCGUUCAUCCAUACACUCAGCUGGUCUUGUCAGAGGAGCCCCUGAGUGGGAAGCUGUCCUUUGCUUUGGGGCGGAAUGUGCUGAAACUGUGGGGCUCCUACACUGAAGCCACACAGGGAAAGGUGGGAGUGGGGAGAAAGAGAAAGAGACAGAGGGUCCUAAUGACACCAUUAGAGGCUUUAAAUCACCCACAACUUUAUUUUUUCCGUCAUUUGUCACAAAAGUAACACUAGUACAAAGACUAUGUUAUGUUACUUAGUUUUUAUAUUUUUAAAAUAAAGAGCUCAUUUAGAUGGCUCUUAGCAGAAGUGAAGUUUGGUAGGUCUUGGUCUUCUCAGGAAAUGUGUUGUAUUAUUGGACUAAAAUCUGCUGACUUAGAUACAAUGUUCCAGCUUCUGAAGCUACAGAAAACUCAAAUUCGUGUAAUCUCUCUUCCAUCUGACAACUCCACGUGAAGAGAGAACUUAGGUCUCAUUUUACUCAUUCUUUCAUUCAAUAAAUAUUUACCGAGUGCCUACUAUGUGCAGACACAUUUUCUUCUCCAGGCUGUAUGUUUAGAGCAUUCUUUAAACCAUUUCUCAUGUCACAGAUAUUCUGGACCAAUACUGCUGCUCUUUCCUUAGAAGGACUCCCCUGUGUCAAAUCAUCCUUUUUAAAAAAUAUGGAACAGAGCAUGAUAGCAUUAAUUCAUUUGUGUUACACAUUUCUUAUGUCCUAACCAAGUGCGAGGCAAGAAGACAGCAAGAAUGAAUGAGAUACAGUUUUGUGACUGAAGGACUCACUGCCCAGAAGGAGGAGGCAGCCAUGUAAAUAGGUACCUGAGUUUCUACAACUUUGGCAAAAAUACUCGGCAACAUUUACUGGGAUUUUUGAACAUCCCACAUCCAGUCCUGUGUUAAGGAUUUCAUAGAUAUUAUCCUAUUUAAUCCUCAUCUAUAAGAUGCAGGCAGUGAAAAUGUGAAGAUCUGAGUGGUGUGAAAUGAAGUCACUUUCAGAGAAAACGUUUUGCUGAAAUUGAGAGUGAACUAUAUAUGCCUAAGUCAUACACCGAAAGCAGGAGACCUGUCCAGGGGACACACAGCCCCACAAUGUCCCCUCACCACCAAAAAAGGUAAUCGGAAAAUGAGAGAAGAAUGCAAAGUACAUGGAAUCAGCUAUGUACAUACUGAAAUAUAAGUCACAACACUAUGUGAUGUGGGGCUAUAGUCAUAAAGAUCAAGAUAGAAAAGAAAAACAUUCACCUCUAUGUCUGAGUAAUCUUUCUCCCCCACUCUUUCAUUCCUUUCCUCCAACAUUUUAGUGUCUCAAGCCUUUUUUGAAGGAUUCGUUGUCUCACUUAAAAAUAAAGAUGGGUAAGGGAGUAUGGUUUUCACCUGAGCAAACCAGAUGUGACAGGCUCCGUGAAGUAUAUCCAUGUUUUCCUGCUCUAUUUAUGUAAAAAUAACUUAGGGAAGCUGAAAUAUUUUGUGUGUGUUUUAAAAGUUAAAGAGAAGAAGCUUUCGGAGCAAUGAAUGAGAUGAAAGACAAAGCUGUGCCAGGAAAGAUGAAAGCCAAGCAAGGGUGGUUAAUCAUCCUAGCCAGAGAUAAACAAGAGAAAUCCAGUGCCCCCCGAUAGCUGAGGAGCCCCGCUAUCCACCAUGGAAAUGUCUCUGACAUCUAAGUUCUGAGCUGGUUACUAAGCCUGCUAUUUCUGCUCUGUCAAAGUCAUUCCAUUAAAACUUAAAAUAAGCCUGCAACUGGAUAAUCUUAUCCCUCACAGAAGCCUUAUGUAAUAAAUGCAAAUGUGCAUCUGAAUUAUUAGGCUUCUAUUUUUUUCCCUCAAAGCUGCACUUAAUCAGUAAAAGCUUGUGAAAGCCUGAAGGUUUCUAAAAUAAAUGUGUAUCUAAGCGCAUCUCCAAUGUUGUCUUGAGAGCUACCAAGAGGUUUGGAAGAAAAGGCCUUGUGUGAAGAACAAGAAUUGCUGGGUUCUAGCACUGGUUGAACUACUUAAUUUGGACUGGUUCCUGCAAAUCGCUUAGGCUCCAAAGGUUGAAAGAUCCUAUGUCUGAGUGAAAGGAGUUCAGAAACUAGGAUUAAAAAACAUGGGUUUGAGUCCCAGCUUUGUCAUGUGCGAGCUACGUAGCUGGCAAAGGAUUUACUAUUUGGGGCUUUGCUUCUUAUCUAUAGAGUGGGGAAAGUAAUAGUAGCUAAUUCAUAGGACUGCUGUGAAGAACAUAUGAGGCAUUGUAUAUAAAAGAGUUAUUUGCACACUGUAAAGGGCAACAGACAGGUUGGCCUUUGCCAACACUUCUCCAGUUUACCUAAGGCUUACAGAAUGCUGGGAAAAUAAAUGAGAGGUAAAAAGGCAUUUUUAAUAGAAAGUCCUAAAUAUGACUUCACAAUUCCUUGUAGCAAGUGAAGACAUAGUUUAAUUCUGACGGUAAAGGCAAAUGAACUAAUCAGAAAGCCAGCCCCAUCUAGGAGACGUGUAAGAAGACAUCUUCCAUCUACAGUCAAAGGCAAACGAUAAGGUUUUUUUCUUAUUCUCUUGCAUUCUAGAGGCUGUUGGGGGUUGGGUGGCUUGGAACAGAAACUGCCACACAAAAGCAUUUGCUAGGUUACGGCAUGGGGGUUGGGAGGGCGCUAUAAUGUAACAGACAUAAGAUGACUGAAGUGUUCACACAAAAAAGUUAUCUUCCAAUUCCAUUUGAGCUACAAUCUGAUUUCGGGGUUGAGUACAACAUCCCCUUCACAAGAAUCUGAAGUCUGUAAGAGGGCUGUGCUGCAUAAGUCUUCCACCCAGCAACAGGAUGAUGUCAGCGGCCAGGGAGAACGACCAAUCAGCAAGCAGAAUGAAUCAGAGCGUGCUGGGAUUUUGCUCAACUGUCUCAGCAAAGCAAGCUGUGCUCUGAAGUGCAGGGGUUAUUUGCACUUCCUCUGCACUUGAAGCUGAGCCUGAAUGGCUCUUUAGCUGAAAAGAUACCAAGGAGUGUGCAAGCAGUUAAGAUGAUCUGCAUCCAAGCAGCCAGUCUCAUAAGUCAUAAGAGUCAUAUUUGUUUUU
Molecule: non-coding RNA, 3956 nt
Organism: Callithrix jacchus (white-tufted-ear marmoset)
Lineage: Eukaryota; Metazoa; Chordata; Mammalia; Primates; Cebidae
Source: RefSeq, a predicted model, not a curated record